AUGGCUAGUAAUUGGAGUUUCAGACAAUUUGGGGAGGUAAUUUGUAGCCAAUAUCCUUGGGGUUUGCUUGAUGAAGUGGUAUACAAAUACUAUGAUGGGGAAAAGAAAUGGGUGAUAGUUAGUAAUGAUGAAGAGCUGGCUACCAUGUUUUCUAGGCAUAAAGAGAAAGAAAAUUUUCAUGUGAGGCUGCAAAUUGAUGUGCUUGAGCAGGCAUUUGGACCUAGGAUGGCAGGUGCAACAUCUCGGGGAGAACCAAGUCGUCGUAAUGGCAUCUCUAGCCAGAACAGUUCAGUUGGUGCACGGCGACGUGGUGGCUCGACAAGUGUGGGCAACGGCAGUAGGGUCCCCCUUGAAGUGGAGCCUGAUGACUACAAUUCUGGGGUUGAUGAAGAGAAGUUAUAUUCUGAUGUUAUUCAGAAUUUACGACGGCCACCUCGGGGUAAAAACCAAGAUGAGGCUCACAAUGAUGUCCGUGUGGAGAUGACGCGGUGGGUGACGACGAAGACCUUGCAGCUGUUGAAUGGGACCCUUUGA
Molecule: ribosomal RNA, 534 nt
Filed under: Triticum aestivum (bread wheat)
Lineage: Eukaryota; Viridiplantae; Streptophyta; Magnoliopsida; Poales; Poaceae
Description: partial small subunit ribosomal RNA
Source: RNAcentral